Molecule: unclassified non-coding RNA, 217 nt
Filed under: Hevea brasiliensis (rubber tree)
Lineage: Eukaryota; Viridiplantae; Streptophyta; Magnoliopsida; Malpighiales; Euphorbiaceae
Source: RNAcentral
GGGGGACUUAGGCUUUGGCUAAUUUAGUUUCUGUAUGCUUCAUUUUGCCUUCAAUUGGAUCUGAAUAUGGGAGGUUUGGACAACAAUGUUGUCCUCUGUUUCAAGUUUUCUUCCCUACUUCGGGUCUUCGACAUAGGUUGAUCGCAAGAUUAGGUUUUUUUUAUCUUUGGGUUGGAAAACCUUUAGGGUCUAUUUUUACUCAGGCUGUUGUUUCUUG